GGUUAAGCGACUAAGCGUACACGGUGGAUGCCCUGGCAGUCAGAGGCGAUGAAGGACGUGCUAAUCUGCGAUAAGCGUCGGUAAGGUGAUAUGAACCGUUAUAACCGGCGAUUUCCGAAUGGGGAAACCCAGUGUGAUUCGUCACACUAUCAUUAACUGAAUCCAUAGGUUAAUGAGGCGAACCGGGGGAACUGAAACAUCUAAGUACCCCGAGGAAAAGAAAUCAACCGAGAUUCCCCCAGUAGCGGCGAGCGAACGGGGAGCAGCCCAGAGCCUGAAUCAGUGUGUGUGUUAGUGGAAGCGUCUGGAAAGGCGCGCGAUACAGGGUGACAGCCCCGUACACAAAAAUGCACAUGCUGUGAGCUCGAUGAGUAGGGCGGGACACGUGGUAUCCUGUCUGAAUAUGGGGGGACCAUCCUCCAAGGCUAAAUACUCCUGACUGACCGAUAGUGAACCAGUACCGUGAGGGAAAGGCGAAAAGAACCCCGGCGAGGGGAGUGAAAAAGAACCUGAAACCGUGUACGUACAAGCAGUGGGAGCACGCUUAGGCGUGUGACUGCGUACCUUUUGUAUAAUGGGUCAGCGACUUAUAUUCUGUAGCAAGGUUAACCGAAUAGGGGAGCCGAAGGGAAACCGAGUCUUAACUGGGCGUUAAGUUGCAGGGUAUAGACCCGAAACCCGGUGAUCUAGCCAUGGGCAGGUUGAAGGUUGGGUAACACUAACUGGAGGACCGAACCGACUAAUGUUGAAAAAUUAGCGGAUGACUUGUGGCUGGGGGUGAAAGGCCAAUCAAACCGGGAGAUAGCUGGUUCUCCCCGAAAGCUAUUUAGGUAGCGCCUCGUGAAUUCAUCUCCGGGGGUAGAGCACUGUUUCGGCAAGGGGGUCAUCCCGACUUACCAACCCGAUGCAAACUGCGAAUACCGGAGAAUGUUAUCACGGGAGACACACGGCGGGUGCUAACGUCCGUCGUGAAGAGGGAAACAACCCAGACCGCCAGCUAAGGUCCCAAAGUCAUGGUUAAGUGGGAAACGAUGUGGGAAGGCCCAGACAGCCAGGAUGUUGGCUUAGAAGCAGCCAUCAUUUAAAGAAAGCGUAAUAGCUCACUGGUCGAGUCGGCCUGCGCGGAAGAUGUAACGGGGCUAAACCAUGCACCGAAGCUGCGGCAGCGACACUAUGUGUUGUUGGGUAGGGGAGCGUUCUGUAAGCCUGUGAAGGUGUACUGUGAGGUAUGCUGGAGGUAUCAGAAGUGCGAAUGCUGACAUAAGUAACGAUAAAGCGGGUGAAAAGCCCGCUCGCCGGAAGACCAAGGGUUCCUGUCCAACGUUAAUCGGGGCAGGGUGAGUCGACCCCUAAGGCGAGGCCGAAAGGCGUAGUCGAUGGGAAACAGGUUAAUAUUCCUGUACUUGGUGUUACUGCGAAGGGGGGACGGAGAAGGCUAUGUUGGCCGGGCGACGGUUGUCCCGGUUUAAGCGUGUAGGCUGGUUUUCCAGGCAAAUCCGGAAAAUCAAGGCUGAGGCGUGAUGACGAGGCACUACGGUGCUGAAGCAACAAAUGCCCUGCUUCCAGGAAAAGCCUCUAAGCAUCAGGUAACAUCAAAUCGUACCCCAAACCGACACAGGUGGUCAGGUAGAGAAUACCAAGGCGCUUGAGAGAACUCGGGUGAAGGAACUAGGCAAAAUGGUGCCGUAACUUCGGGAGAAGGCACGCUGAUACGUAGGUGAAGUCCCUCGCGGAUGGAGCUGAAAUCAGUCGAAGAUACCAGCUGGCUGCAACUGUUUAUUAAAAACACAGCACUGUGCAAACACGAAAGUGGACGUAUACGGUGUGACGCCUGCCCGGUGCCGGAAGGUUAAUUGAUGGGGUUAGCGGUAACGCGAAGCUCUUGAUCGAAGCCCCGGUAAACGGCGGCCGUAACUAUAACGGUCCUAAGGUAGCGAAAUUCCUUGUCGGGUAAGUUCCGACCUGCACGAAUGGCGUAAUGAUGGCCAGGCUGUCUCCACCCGAGACUCAGUGAAAUUGAACUCGCUGUGAAGAUGCAGUGUACCCGCGGCAAGACGGAAAGACCCCGUGAACCUUUACUAUAGCUUGACACUGAACAUUGAGCCUUGAUGUGUAGGAUAGGUGGGAGGCUUUGAAGUGUGGACGCCAGUCUGCAUGGAGCCGACCUUGAAAUACCACCCUUUAAUGUUUGAUGUUCUAACGUGGACCCGUAAUCCGGGUUGCGGACAGUGUCUGGUGGGUAGUUUGACUGGGGCGGUCUCCUCCUAAAGAGUAACGGAGGAGCACGAAGGUUGGCUAAUCCUGGUCGGACAUCAGGAGGUUAGUGCAAUGGCAUAAGCCAGCUUGACUGCGAGCGUGACGGCGCGAGCAGGUGCGAAAGCAGGUCAUAGUGAUCCGGUGGUUCUGAAUGGAAGGGCCAUCGCUCAACGGAUAAAAGGUACUCCGGGGAUAACAGGCUGAUACCGCCCAAGAGUUCAUAUCGACGGCGGUGUUUGGCACCUCGAUGUCGGCUCAUCACAUCCUGGGGCUGAAGUAGGUCCCAAGGGUAUGGCUGUUCGCCAUUUAAAGUGGUACGCGAGCUGGGUUUAGAACGUCGUGAGACAGUUCGGUCCCUAUCUGCCGUGGGCGCUGGAGAACUGAGGGGGGCUGCUCCUAGUACGAGAGGACCGGAGUGGACGCAUCACUGGUGUUCGGGUUGUCAUGCCAAUGGCACUGCCCGGUAGCUAAAUGCGGAAGAGAUAAGUGCUGAAAGCAUCUAAGCACGAAACUUGCCCCGAGAUGAGUUCUCCCUGACUCCUUGAGAGUCCUGAAGGAACGUUGAAGACGACGACGUUGAUAGGCCGGGUGUGUAAGCGCAGCGAUGCGUUGAGCUAACCGGUACUAAUGAACCGUGAGGCUUAACCUU
Molecule: ribosomal RNA, 2905 nt
Filed under: Escherichia coli
Lineage: Bacteria; Pseudomonadati; Pseudomonadota; Gammaproteobacteria; Enterobacterales; Enterobacteriaceae
Description: 23S ribosomal RNA
Rfam family: Bacterial large subunit ribosomal RNA
Source: RNAcentral